Molecule: ribosomal RNA, 438 nt
Filed under: uncultured bacterium
Lineage: Bacteria
Description: partial 16S ribosomal RNA
Rfam family: Bacterial small subunit ribosomal RNA
Source: RNAcentral
CUACGGGAGGCUCCAGUGGGGAAUAUUGCACAAUGGGCGAAAGCCUGAUGCAGCAACGCCGCGUGAGUGAUGAAGGCCUUCGGGUCGUAAAACUCUGUCCUCAAGGAAGAUAAUGACGGUACUUGAGGAGGAAGCCCCGGCUAACUACGUGCCAGCAGCCGCGGUAAUACGUAGGGGGCUAGCGUUAUCCGGAUUUACUGGGCGUAAAGGGUGCGUAGGUGGUUUCUUAAGUCAGGAGUGAAAGGCUACGGCUUAACCGUAGUAAGCUCUUGAAACUGGGAAACUUGAGUGCAGGAGAGGAAAGUGGAAUUCCUAGUGUAGCGGUGAAAUGCGUAGAUAUUAGGAGGAACACCAGUAGCGAAGGCGGCUUUCUGGACUGUAACUGACACUGAGGCACGAAAGCGUGGGGAGCAAACAGGAUUAGAUACCCCUGUAGUC